AUUGCUUCUCAGCCUUUUGGCUAAGAUCAAGUGUAGUAUCAUGAGGAGUUUUCUUCGAAAUUGUGGAUUUCCACUUAUGUAACUAGUGGUGCUAUUAUGUGCCCAGCACGAAGGUAUGUAAAUGUUGCAUUAAAACCUUC
This is a non-coding RNA of Homo sapiens (human), 140 nucleotides long. NCBI's taxonomy places the organism in Eukaryota, Metazoa, Chordata, Mammalia, Primates, Hominidae. The record is from Rfam.